Molecule: long non-coding RNA, 1646 nt
Organism: Triticum dicoccoides
Lineage: Eukaryota; Viridiplantae; Streptophyta; Magnoliopsida; Poales; Poaceae
Exons: 3
Source: RefSeq, a predicted model, not a curated record
CCCUCGCCAGAUCUCCCCCCGACCACUAUACUUCUCUCGCUGCACCGGCGGCCCUCCCCAUCACCCUUGUCGCCUCCCACGACGCCCUCACCUAUGCGCGUGUCGCUGCCCCAACGAAGCCCUCGCCAGCACGCUCCUGGCCUCCCUCCCUGCUCCCCCCAUGGCACACCAUAAGCGCACACGAGGGGCGGCAUCAACUUCCCCCCAUGGCAGACCAGGAGCAGCCCCUCCCUCGACUACGCCGCGGCAUUGAGAGCCGGGGCCUUCGGAGCUGGGGGAGCCGAGCUCCGCGGCGGGCGGCGGGGAGGCGCGGGUGAUGUGGGACGACCCCGUGGUAGCGGAGACGGGGGAGGCGCCCAACGCAGUGGCGCAUCCGUUCGACCCCAAGCUGGUGUCCAGCAGCCGCCGGCAAGCAGGUGAUGGCCUCUGCGACGUGUUGUUGUUGUUUCUUGGAGUUCUUGGAGUCUCUAGAGUGCGUUCUUGAGCUUUUGGCCUUUUGGGAACUGCUGGACACUACAACGCCACGGCCACAACAGAGCGAGCCGCACGAAUCGAUUCACCACAGUGAGGCAUAGACCGAAACCUAGCUUGCUUCGUCGAUUCGCGGCGGCGGGGAUGGCGACCGGCGUGGGGCCGUGGGCUUGUGUCGACCGGCGCUGCUGCUGCGCUGCUAGCGGGUGGCCGGUCGGGCGGUCGGCGGUCAUCCUCACAUCCUGUUGGAGGCUUGGAGAUCUCACCUCUGACUCGAGGUUUGAGCCUCUCGGCCUCUCGCCUCUUUAUGUUGAUAACCGGAGUAGUCCUACUGUAAAUUGAGCUAGCUCUAGUGUUAAUGUGUAUGUAUAUUACUGGUUGCUCUUGUUGCGCUGUCAGGUGAAAGCAGUUCUCCUGUAAUCCCGAGUUUCGGUCAUAUGGUUCUGAACUUCUGAUAUUAGCAUAUAUGCUUUCUUUUAAACUGGGUGGAUGUUGGUUGGCAUAUAGUAUGAGUAGUUCUUAUCUUCCUUUUAAAUUCCUUUGAAGUGGUGCUUUGUACUGACUAAUGAUGAUACUAGUUAUUUGCUACUGCUCCUAAUGCUCUAGUAGAAGAGGCUACUGAAGGGCACACCCAAGAACAGGGGGCUGCUCCAGAACAAGAAGCAUGUGCAAGUCUAGUGUAGACAAACAAGACAUCUGGACGAGAAGAAAAAGAACUGCAAGGCUGGUAAGGUCGAGACUCAUCUUGAAUUCCCUGGAUGUGAAAAGGUUAAAUUUGGUGAAGUUGUCAAAGCUCCACCAAAGUUAUCAUUCCCAAAGAGGUGAUCGACAGGUGAUCGACGCUGACAAGCGUGGCCCGGUGGCGCUGUGCUCUUCAACCAGUUAGAGGUGGACUUCACCGUGAAGCCCGAUGGCCACGUCGCACAGAUGAUCGUCCAGGUGAUUUCGACGCCGGAGGUCGCCGAUGUGGAGGACCUUGACGCCACCGUCCGCGAGAGGGAGUAUUCGUGUCCAGCGGCGUCUGAACUCCUAGCCUUGUAGAUACAUCUAGAGAGGUGGUCUGUUUAGGUUGGUCAUAGGGAAGGUACCCACCUUACGAUGAUGGUUGUGUGUGUCUGAUGUUAAAUGAAAGCUUGAGAUGGUUCUGUGAGUUGGUUUGGUUUGCACUGGACGUA